UGUAAUAUUGUGGGAGAG
Molecule: small nuclear RNA, 18 nt
Filed under: Arabidopsis thaliana (thale cress)
Lineage: Eukaryota; Viridiplantae; Streptophyta; Magnoliopsida; Brassicales; Brassicaceae
Description: snRNA_06178
Source: RNAcentral